CGAGGUGUAGCGCAGUUUGGUAGCGCGCUUGGUUCGGGACCAAGAGGCCCCGGGUUCAAAUCCCGGCACCUCGACCA
RNAcentral lists this transfer RNA (77 nucleotides) under Bacillota bacterium. RNAcentral's name for it is "Firmicutes bacterium (anaerobic digester metagenome) tRNA-Pro". It matches the Rfam family "tRNA". From Rfam's summary of the family: Transfer RNA (tRNA) molecules are approximately 80 nucleotides in length. Their secondary structure includes four short double-helical elements and three loops (D, anti-codon, and T loops). The record is from RNAcentral. Lineage: Bacteria; Bacillati; Bacillota.